RNAcentral lists this ribosomal RNA (497 nucleotides) under uncultured bacterium. RNAcentral describes it as "partial 16S ribosomal RNA". It matches the Rfam family "Bacterial small subunit ribosomal RNA", at positions 28 to 507 of the family's 1533-position model. The record is from RNAcentral.
GAUGAACGCUGGCGGCGUGCCUAAUACAUGCAAGUCGAGCGAACAGACGAGGAGCUUGCUCCUCUGACGUUAGCGGCGGACGGGUGAGUAACACGUGGAUAACCUACCUAUAAGACUGGGAUAACUUCGGGAAACCGGAGCUAAUACCGGAUAAUAUAUUGAACCGCAUGGUUCAAUAGUGAAAGACGGUUUUGCUGGCACUUAUAGAUGGAUCCGCGCCGCAUUAGCUAGUUGGUAAGGUAACGGCUUACCAAGGCAACGAUGCGUAGCCGACCUGAGAGGGUGAUCGGCCACCCUGGAACUGAGACACGGUCCAGACUCCUACGGGAGGCCGCAGUAGGGAAUCUUCCGCAAUGGGCGAAAGCUUGACGGAGCAACGCCGCGUGAGUGAUGAAGGUCUUCGGAUCGUAAAACUCUGUUAUUAGGGAAGAACAAAUGUGUAAGUAACUAUGCACGUCUUGACGGUACCUAAUCAGAAAGCCACGGCUAACUACGUG